This 424-nucleotide small RNA is filed under the name Histoplasma capsulatum. Its description in RNAcentral is "hypothetical RNA". Lineage: Eukaryota; Fungi; Ascomycota; Eurotiomycetes; Onygenales; Ajellomycetaceae. The record is from RNAcentral. RNAcentral also lists the same sequence under 1 other name.
UAUGAGCCUGCGUCUCUACUCGACUACCCAUUAAUAUUGCGCGAGCGAGUUUAACAAGGAACGACUUCAUCGAGCGCGAAUGACGCUGAGAAGGAUGCACGAGAUAUCUUGAUGACAGAGAACCCACCUUGCAGACAGGGCCGUGUUUAUUCCAGGCCGUGACUUGAUCCUGAUCUACGGGCCGUUCAAGGACACACUUGAUUCGAAAAAUGGGCUCUUUAGACUGCUCAAUGGCCGAGGCAUCUCUUCACCUCCAAGCUGUUUACCAAUUACGGCCUUAUCAGGCCCUGAUUCUUGAUGGAAAUAUUACAAUACGAUACCCUUUAUCUGGGGGAGGGCUUUUGCAAGUUACUUGGAAUUAAGAAGAAGAAGAAGAAGGUUUAGCCACAGCUAGAACUGCAGAGCAAUCGCAUACUUACUUAUC